CCUACGGGUGGCAGCAGUGAGGAAUAUUGGUCAAUGGGCGGGAGCCUGAACCAGCCAAGUCGCGUGAAGGAAGACGGUACUUAGUAUUGUAAACUUCUUUUGUCGGGGAACAAAGGCGGAGACGCGUCUCCGGAUGCGUGUACCCGAAGAAAAAGCAUCGGCUAACUCCGUGCCAGCGGCCGCGGUAAUACGGAGGAUGCGAGCGUUAUCCGGAUUUAUGGGGUUUAAGGGGUGCGCAGGCGGGGGAUCAAGUCAGCGGGAAAAUGUCGGGGCUCAACCCCGGCCGGCCGUUGAAACUGGUUGUCUAGAGUUGGAGAGAAGUAUGCGGAAUUCGUGGUGUAGCGGUGAAAUGCAUAGAUAUCACGAAGAACUCCGAUUGCGAAGGCAGCAUACCGGCUCCAUACUGACGCUGAGGCACGAAAGCGUGGGGAUCGAACAGGAUUAGAUACCCGGGUAGUC
This 459-nucleotide ribosomal RNA is filed under the name uncultured bacterium. RNAcentral describes it as "partial 16S ribosomal RNA". It matches the Rfam family "Bacterial small subunit ribosomal RNA", at positions 338 to 795 of the family's 1533-position model. The record is from RNAcentral.